CACAAUAUCUUUUUUUGGCAUUUCUCUUCAUCGUAUUUCAACACUUCAAUCAUUUAAUUUUUAGAUAUCAUAGUGCGCACAAAAAGGAACAUGUCGCUUUCACAGUGAAUUUGGCAAUAAGAAUCUUAACAAGCAAAUGCGACAUUAUGAGAUUACAGACCGCUAGAAGACAAGUGAAGGUCUGGAGAUAGUGAGUGCGUGGUCGUUGGCAAAAAGUAGGCAGUUAAGAUGAGCUAACGAGGUUGACCAAUUUCUGACUUGACGCUGACGGAUCAGGAUUUUAACCAGUGAGAACGUUUUGAAAGGAUUAAAGAACGAUCCACAAAGAACUUGUGGGCGUUCGUAUAAUAGGAAAUGCAUUUUCUAUCGAGAAGAUUUGGCGAAGUAUUCUUUAGGAAUCUCGUAAGUAUUUCACGACUUAUU
Xenia sp. Carnegie-2017 is the source of this 423-nucleotide long non-coding RNA. RefSeq lists it as uncharacterized. The transcript is spliced from 3 exons. The record is from RefSeq and is a predicted model, not a curated record. Lineage: Eukaryota; Metazoa; Cnidaria; Anthozoa; Malacalcyonacea; Xeniidae.